UGGGGAAUAUUGCACAAUGGGCGCAAGCCUGAUGCAGCCAUGCCGCGUGUAUGAAGAAGGCCUUCGGGUUGUAAAGUACUUUCAGCGGGGAGGAAGGGAGUAAAGUUAAUACCUUUGCUCAUUGACGUUACCCGCAGAAGAAGCACCGGCUAACUCCGUGCCAGCAGCCGCGGUAAUACGGAGGGUGCAAGCGUUAAUCGGAAUUACUGGGCGUAAAGCGCACGCAGGCGGUUUGUUAAGUCAGAUGUGAAAUCCCCGGGCUCAACCUGGGAACUGCAUCUGAUACUGGCAAGCUUGAGUCUCGUAGAGAGGGGUAGAAUUCCAGGUGUAGCGGUGAAAUGCGUAGAGAUCUGUAGGAAUACCGGUGGCGAAGGCGGCCCCCUGGACGAAGACUGACGCUCAGGUGCGAAAGCGUGGGGAGCAAACAGG
RNAcentral lists this ribosomal RNA (429 nucleotides) under Chloroflexota bacterium. RNAcentral describes it as "Chloroflexi bacterium partial 16S ribosomal RNA". It matches the Rfam family "Bacterial small subunit ribosomal RNA", at positions 355 to 776 of the family's 1533-position model. The record is from RNAcentral. Lineage: Bacteria; Bacillati; Chloroflexota.